RNAcentral lists this long non-coding RNA (464 nucleotides) under Ananas comosus (pineapple). Its description in RNAcentral is "long non-coding RNA (ACOM_LNC005544)". Lineage: Eukaryota; Viridiplantae; Streptophyta; Magnoliopsida; Poales; Bromeliaceae. The record is from RNAcentral.
CCGGUCCCCGAGAGCUGAAAAUCCGCAGUUUUGCAGAAUUUGAUUCUUUAGCUCUCGAAAACCUUCCACAACACACUUUUGACUAUUUUAACACCUUCGGACUUUCCGAAGUGUACCAUCCUCGCACUUGGGUCAAUUUGACUAAAGUUCGAUAUUUAUUUUUCGAAUUUUCGGUAUAUUACAGAUCGAGUGGCAUAAAGAAUGAAUAAAGUUAAAGAGCAAUGAUUGCUAGAGUUCGCAAAAUAAAGUAAUGUGACACUAGAGUUAGUGUGUGGCAUCAAAAAGAAAUGUGAUGUAAGAACAAUGACAAUGAUUAGUGACAAGCGAAGAAAAUAAAAGUGGCAUAAAGAACGAGUAAAGUUAAAGAAUAAUGAUUGCUGGAGUUAGCAAAAUAAAGUGAUGUAAAGAACACUAGAGUUACUGUAAAGACAAUGAUUGAACUAUGUAUCCUUAGAGUUAAGGAU